GAGCGCGAAAGUUUUCGGAUGAGUAGAGCGGCGAACGGGUGAGUAACGCGUGGGAAUCUGCCUGGUAAUGGGGGACAACAUCUCGAAAGGGAUGCUAAUACCGCAUACGCCCUAAGGGGGAAAGUGGGGGAUCUUCGGACCUCACGUUAUCAGAGGAGCCCGCGUCGGAUUAGCUAGUAGGUAGGGUAAAGGCCUACCUAGGCGACGAUCCGUAACUGGUCUGAGAGGAUGAUCAGUCACACUGGAACUGAGACACGGUCCAGACUCCUACGGGAGGCAGCAGUGGGGAAUAUUGGACAAUGGGGGCAACCCUGAUCCAGCCAUGCCGCGUGUGUGAAGAAGGCCUUCGGGUUGUAAAGCACUUUAAGUUGGGAGGAAGGCUUCACGGAUAAUACCUGUGAGGAUUGACGUUACCAACAGAAUAAGCACCGGCUAACUCCGUGCCAGCAGCCGCGGUAAUACGGAGGGUGCAAGCGUUAAUCGGAAUUACUGGGCGUAAAGCGCGCGUAGGCGGCCAUUUAAGCUAGAUGUGAAAGCCCAGGGCUUAACCUUGGAACUGCAUUUAGAACUGGAUGGCUAGAGUAUGGAAGAGGAGUGUGGAAUUUCAGGUGUAGCGGUGAAAUGCGUAGAGAUCUGAAGGAACAUCAGUGGCGAAGGCGACACUCUGGUCCAAUACUGACGCUGAGGUGCGAAAGCGUGGGGAUCAAACAGGAUUAGAUACCCUGGUAGUCCACGCCCGUAAACGAUGUCGACUAGCCGUUGGCCUCCUUGAGGGGUUAAUGGCGCAGCUAACGCGAUAAGUCGACCGCCUGGGGAUUCCGGCCCCAAGGUUAAACCUCAAAUGAUUUGACCGGGGGGCCCCCCACAAACGGUGGAACCAUGUGGUUUUAAUUUCGACCCCAACCCCGAAAAACCUUACCUA
This 922-nucleotide ribosomal RNA is filed under the name uncultured bacterium. RNAcentral's name for it is "bacterial SSU rRNA". It matches the Rfam family "Bacterial small subunit ribosomal RNA", at positions 64 to 977 of the family's 1533-position model. The record is from RNAcentral.